Small nucleolar RNA from Ornithorhynchus anatinus (platypus), 138 nucleotides. The record is from RefSeq and is a predicted model, not a curated record. NCBI's taxonomy places the organism in Eukaryota, Metazoa, Chordata, Mammalia, Monotremata, Ornithorhynchidae.
ACCCUCUCAGGGUGGCACCUGGAGAGUUUCCAGUCCUUUACCAGUUUCGGCUACCAGAGGGGGAGUCAAGCAGAGGCCUGUCCAUUCCAUUCCUGGCUUGAGCAGUGGCUAGCGAUUGGAAGGCAAUCUGCUACAAGC